This 459-nucleotide ribosomal RNA is filed under the name uncultured bacterium. RNAcentral describes it as "partial 16S ribosomal RNA". It matches the Rfam family "Bacterial small subunit ribosomal RNA", at positions 338 to 795 of the family's 1533-position model. The record is from RNAcentral.
CCUACGGGGGGCUGCAGUGAGGAAUAUUGGUCAAUGGGCGGGAGCCUGAACCAGCCAAGCCGCGUGAGGGAAGAAGGUACAGCGUAUCGUAAACCUCUUUUGUCAGGGAACAAAGGCGGGGACUAGUCCCCGGAUGAGGGUACCUGAAGAAAAAGCAUCGGCUAACUCCGUGCCAGCAGCCGCGGUAAUACGGAGGAUGCGAGCGUUAUCCGGAUUUAUUGGGUUUAAAGGGUGCGUAGGCGGGAUGCCAAGUCAGCGGUAAAAAUGCGGUGCUCAAAGCCGUCGAGCCGUUGAAACUGGCGUUCUUGAGUGGGCGAGAAGUAUGCGGAAUGCGUGGUGUAGCGGUGAAAUGCAUAGAUAUCACGCAGAACUCCGAUUGCGAAGGCAGCAUACCGGCGCCCUACUGACGCUGAGGCACGAAAGCGUGGGUAUCGAACAGGAUUAGAUACCCGAGUAGUC